Brassica oleracea var. oleracea is the source of this 118-nucleotide ribosomal RNA. The record is from Rfam. NCBI's taxonomy places the organism in Eukaryota, Viridiplantae, Streptophyta, Magnoliopsida, Brassicales, Brassicaceae.
GGGUGCAAUCAUACCAGCGCUAAUGCGCGGGAUCCCAUCAUAACUCUGCAGUUAAGCGUGAUUGGGCGAGAAUAGUACUAGGAUGGGUGACCUGCCGGGAAGUCCUCGGUUGCACCCC